CGGGGUGAGUAACGCGUGGAUAACCUGCCUCACACAGGGGGAUAACAGUUAGAAAUGACUGCUAAUACCGCAUAAGCGCACAGUACCGCAUGGUAUAGUGUGAAAAACUCCGGUGGUGUGAGAUGGAUCCGCGUCUGAUUAGGUAGUUGGUGAGGUAACGGCCCACCAAGCCGACGAUCAGUAGCCGACCUGAGAGGGUGACCGGCCACAUUGGGACUGAGACACGGCCCAA
RNAcentral lists this ribosomal RNA (232 nucleotides) under uncultured bacterium. RNAcentral describes it as "partial 16S ribosomal RNA". It matches the Rfam family "Bacterial small subunit ribosomal RNA", at positions 104 to 334 of the family's 1533-position model. The record is from RNAcentral.